AGGGUGCGUAGGCGGUGUUGUGGGUCUGAGGUGAAAGGUCGGGGCUCAACCCUGAGAAUGCCUUGGAAACUGCAAGACUUGAGUGCUGGAGAGGCAAGGGGAAUUCCACGUGUAGCGGUGAAAUGCGUAGAGAUGUGGAGGAAUACCAGUGGCGAAGGCGCCUUGCUGGACAGUGACUGACGCUGAGGCACGAAAGCGUGGGGAGCAAACAGGAUUAGAUACCCUGGUAGUCCACGCCGUAAACGAUGAGUGCUAGGUGUUGGGGGGUACCACCCUCAGUGCCGAAGGAAACCCAAUAAGCACUCCGCCUGGGGAGUACGGUCGCAAGACUGAAACUCAAAGGAAUUGACGGGGCCCGCACAAGCAGUGGAGCAUGUGGUUUAAUUCGAAGCAACGCGAAGAACCUUACCAGGGCUUGACAUCCCCCAGACGGGUGUAGAGAUACACCGUCCCUUCGGGGCUGGGGAGACAGGUGGUGCAUGGUUGUCGUCAGCUCGUGUCGUGAGAUGUUGGGUUAAGUCCCGCAACGAGCGCAACCCUUGAUCGGUGUUACCAGCGCGUGAAGGCGGGGACUCACCGGUGACUGCCGUCGUAAGACGGAGGAAGGCGGGGAUGACGUCAAAUCAUCAUGCCCCUUAUGUCCUGGGCGACACACGUGCUACAAUGGGCGGCACAACGGGACGCGAGAGAGCAAUCUGGAGCCAACCCCUGAAAACCGCUCGUAGUUCGGAUUGCAGGCUGCAACUCGCCUGCAUGAAGCCGGAAUUGCUAGUAA
Molecule: ribosomal RNA, 775 nt
Filed under: uncultured low G+C Gram-positive bacterium
Lineage: Bacteria; Bacillati; Bacillota
Description: bacterial SSU rRNA
Rfam family: Bacterial small subunit ribosomal RNA
Source: RNAcentral